GGCAUGGUUGGGCGGUCCGCUUAACAGCGAGUACUGUCUGACUGGGUCUUACCUCUUGGUGAGCCGGCGUGCCCUUCAUUGGUGUGCGUCGGGGAACCAGGACUUUUACCUUGAGAAAAUUAGAGUGUUCAAAGCAGGCAGAUGCCUGAAUACAUUAGCAUGGAAUAAUAAAAUAGGACGUGUGGUUCUAUUUUGUUGGUUUCUAGAGUCACCGUA
This 216-nucleotide ribosomal RNA is filed under the name uncultured fungus. RNAcentral describes it as "partial small subunit ribosomal RNA". The stretch from base 92 to 216 matches the Rfam family "Eukaryotic small subunit ribosomal RNA", at positions 738 to 864 of the family's 1831-position model. Lineage: Eukaryota; Fungi. The record is from RNAcentral.